CACGUCCUACCAUCGUCAUCAGACUACUCCCUCAUCCAACGGGAAAAAAACGAAAGGAAGAAGCGGUGAGAAAUCAAACCAGCACCGCCGUCUUCUCCUUCUCCCUCAUCCAACAAGAAAGAAAGAAAUGGAAUCGAACGCCUUGAUUUGGUUUCGGAAGGGGCUUCGGAUCCACGACAAUCCGGCGCUGGACCAUGCGCGGCGGGGAUCGAAGCACCUCUUCCCGGUGUUCGUGCUGGAUCCUCGCUACCUGGACCCGGACCCCUCCGCCUUCUCCCCCGGCUCCGCCCGCUCCGCCAUCAACCGCAUCCGAUUCCUCCUCGACUGCCUCUCCGAUCUCGACGCCACCCUCCGGACCCUCGGUUCUCGCCUCCUCCUCCUCCGAGGAGAUCCCGUCCCUGUUCUCUGCACCAUCUUGAAGGACUGGAAUAUUGGAAAGCUCUGCUACGAAUUCGACACAGAGCCAUACUCACUUGCCCGAGAUAAACAAGUCAAAGAUUUUGCCUCUAUAUCUGGAAUCGAGGUGUUCUCCCCUGUGAGCCAUACUCUUUUCAAUCCGGCAGUUGUUAUAGAAAAGAAUGGGGGACGGCCACCUUUGACAUAUCAAUCAUUUGUAAAGCUUGCUGGAAAACCCCCAACUCCACUUACUGAGACAUACUCUGAGCUUCCUCCUGUUGGAAAUGUUGAGGGAUAUGAAUUGCUAAGUGUUCCUGCAAUUGAAGAGCUUGGUUAUGGUGAUUUAAGUCAGGAAGAAUUUUCUCCAUUUCGAGGAGGUGAAACAGAAGCUCUUAAGAGAUUGAAGAAGGCUCUUGAAGAUAAGGAGUGGGUAGCAACUUUUGAGAAACCAAAGGGUGAUCCAUCUGCCUUUCUAAAGCCAGCAACCACUGUCUUAUCGCCAUAUUUGAAAUUUGGUUGUCUUUCUUCAAGGUAUUUCUAUCAGUGUCUCCAUAAUGUUUAUAAGACUGUAGGAAAGCACACUUCUCCUCCAGUUUCACUUGUUGGGCAGUUAUUAUGGCGUGAAUUCUUCUAUACUGUGGCCUUUGGAACACCUCAUUUUGAUCAGAUGAUAGGGAAUAAAAUCUGCAAGCAGAUUCCUUGGAGGGAUGAUGAAGAACUGUUUGUAGCUUGGAGAGAAGGUCGGACGGGAUAUCCUUGGAUUGAUGCCAUUAUGAUCCAGCUUACGAAGUGGGGUUGGAUGCACCAUCUAGCACGUCAUUCAGUUGCAUGUUUCCUAACUCGUGGUGAUCUGUUCAUUCACUGGGAAAAGGGGCGUGAUGUCUUCGAGAGACUACUGAUAGAUUCAGAUUGGGCCAUAAAUAAUGGUAAUUGGUUAUGGUUGUCUUGUUCAUCCUUUUUUUACCAGUAUAAUCGUAUCUACUCUCCGAUCUCUUUUGGGAAGAAAUAUGAUCCUGAUGGAAACUAUAUCCGGCAUUUUCUGCCCGUUCUGAAGGACAUGCCAAAGGAGUAUAUUUAUGAACCUUGGACCGCACCACUGAGUGUCCAAAAGAAAGCAAAUUGCAUAAUCGGGAAAGAUUAUCCAAAACGAGGGUUUACUAUUAAGGCCUGUUAUCAUUGUUAUCAUGAGAUUCAAGAAAGGAAGCAAGGUGGAAGUGUUGAACAAGAAGGAGGUGCCAUCAGGCUCCUGGUGGCCUGCUGAGAUAAUCUCUGGCAAUGGGCAUAACUACUAUGUUAGGUAUAAUACUUUUUUAGCAAACAUGUGUACAGCCGUGGAAAGAGUACCAAGAAAGGUCAUAAGACCAUGUCCCCCAUCAGCGAAGGGUCCAAGGGAUUGGGUCCCUGGUGACAUUCUUGAGGUCUUGGACAAUAACUCGUGGAAGCUUGCAGAGGUUUCAAGGGUUGUUGAUGAUGGUUACUUUUUUGUGAGGCUCCUUGGAUCUUGCGGGGAGUUCAAAGUCCACACAUCUGACCUCAGGCUGCGACAAUCUUGGCAAGAUGAAAAAUGGGUUGUGAUUCAAAAGGAUUCUGGAAAACCCAAUGAUAGAAUGAUGAGCAGUCUGUCAAAAGCAAAAAAAUUUAAAUGUCAGAUGCCUCAGCCAUAUCUAGAAAGUCAUAAUGCUCUUGUCUUCUCAAGAGGCACAAAGAAAAGGCCACGAGCCUCAUCGCAACCUAUCGAGAGAUGCAAUGAAGCUAGCAGAAAGUUGAGAGCAAUUGAGAAAGAU
Non-coding RNA from Elaeis guineensis (African oil palm), 2180 nucleotides. The record is from RefSeq and is a predicted model, not a curated record. Lineage: Eukaryota; Viridiplantae; Streptophyta; Magnoliopsida; Arecales; Arecaceae.